RNAcentral lists this ribosomal RNA (443 nucleotides) under uncultured bacterium. RNAcentral's name for it is "bacterial SSU rRNA". It matches the Rfam family "Bacterial small subunit ribosomal RNA", at positions 30 to 480 of the family's 1533-position model. The record is from RNAcentral.
AUUGAACGCUGGCGGCAUGCCUUACACAUGCAAGUCGAACGGUAACGCGGGGCAACCUGGCGACGAGUGGCGAACGGGUGAGUAAUGCAUCGGAACGUGCCCAGUAGUGGGGGAUAGCCCGGCGAAAGCCGGAUUAAUACCGCAUACGACCUACGGGUGAAAGCGGGGGACUCGCAAGAGCCUCGCGCUAUUGGAGCGGCCGAUGUCAGAUUAGGUAGUUGGUGGGGUAAAAGCCUACCAAGCCGACGAUCUGUAGCUGGUCUGAGAGGACGACCAGCCACACUGGGACUGAGACACGGCCCAGACUCCUACGGGAGGCAGCAGUGGGGAAUAUUGGACAAUGGGCGCAAGCCUGAUCCAGCCAUGCCGCGUGAGUGAAGAAGGCCUUCGGGUUGUAAAGACUCUUCGGUUGGGGUAAGGAAAGUUAGCUUCGGUUAAUACCU